UCUGUUAUAAGUUUUUAUUUAUUUACUUACUUACACACAUAGUCCAGGUUCUCGUUUACUCUCUAACUUUUUUUUCUAUCUUCCUUCCAGCGAACUAACAAACUUGUAACCCCAUUCCUUUCUCUCUCUCUCUCGCUGUCUCACUCCCUACUCUCUCUCUCCCUUUCUCUAUCGGAAUUCCGUCAAGUCCGGAGCCUUUCUCAUGUCCCCUGGUGCAAGGAAGUGGACUUCGCCAUGGGGUCCUGCCUCAGUCUUGACCAAGAAGAGCUGAAAGCUCGGGCCAGGAGUGCCGCUAUUGACAAACAACUACGGGCAUCUGCCAAAGAGGAAGAAACUGUAGUGAAAAUCUUGCUUUUAGGUGCUGCUGAAAGUGGUAAAAGUACCCUGGUAAAGCAGAUGAAAAUUAUUCACAAUGACGGUUUCUCCAAAGACGAAUUAUUGGCUUUCAGGCCUGCAGUACUAGACAAUCUGUUGAAUUCCAUGAAGUAUGUUUUGGCAGGGAUGGGAGUAUUACGGAUUAAUCUGGAUGACCCCCGAAACAGGCUGAACGCUCAGAAGGUGCUUGCAUGCAAUUACUGCAUGACCGAAAACCAAACCAUGAUUCCAUAUGUGUGGGAAGCACUCUACAAUCUAUGGAUGGACAAAGGUGUUAGAAUUGCAGUAUCACGGGGCUACGAAUAUGAACUGAAUGAUUCAGCAAUCUACUAUUUUGAAAACAUGAACCGGAUCUGCUCAAUGACAUAUAUUCCAAACUCCACAGAUGUGUUACGUGCCCGAGUACGUACGACCGGCGUUUUAGAAACCUGCUUCAGAAUCAACUAUGUGAUAUUUCGAAUGUUUGAUGUUGGUGGUCAGCGGUCAGAACGGAGGAAGUGGAUCCAGUGUUUUGAUGAUGUGCGAGGGGUUUUGUUUGUGGUGGCCCUUAGUUCCUAUGACAUGUGCCUGUAUGAGGAUCAUACCGUGAACCGAUUGCAAGAAAGUCUGACCCUUUUCAAAGGCAUUUGUAAUAACUCAUUCUUCUAUUUCUCCUGUAUGAUACUCUUUCUCAACAAACUCGAUUUAUUCAAAGACAAAAUCCUCCAUUCUCAUCGUCAUCUACAUCUGUUCUUUCCGGAAUAUAAAGGUUCAAUCCAGGACGUAGACGCAGCGGCCAUGUACAUCCAGAACCUAUUUCAAAUGCAGAAUCGAAACCAGUACAAAGUCAUCUACCCCCAUUUCACCACGGCAACCGACACCAGCAACAUCCAGGUCGUCUUUGAAGUCGUGAUGGAAUCCAUUCUGAAAGAGAACCUCAAAGCAGCCGCUCUCCUUUGAACCAUGGAAAUCAAUUCACCUGUAACCGAUGGUCACACACAGAUGCCAAGAACUCAUACUGCUAUUACUACUACUACUACUACUACUACUGCUGCUGCUGCUACUGCUGCUGCUGAUGUUGCUGUUUUUGCAGGGGUGGGUGGUGAAGGGGAGGUUGUUUUUAGUUGUUGAAUUUUUACAAAAAAACAAACUUUUUUUUUUUUAUUUUCAAGCCAGACAAAUAUGAGAAAAUCUCGUGGGUUCUGCAGUUUAGAAUACAAAACCCACCCCAACCCUUGUUCGUGGUGCCAUCUGAUGUUGACUGAGUGAAAGUAAAGUUGCGGAGUUUAUGUGUGAGAAAGCUGAUCUUUAGAUGUAUAUAUAUAUAUAUAUAUAUAAUAUAUAUAUAUAGCGGUGCUCCAGCAUGGCCGCAGUCAAAUGACUGAAACAAGUAAAA
This 1750-nucleotide unclassified non-coding RNA is filed under the name Octopus sinensis (East Asian common octopus). Its description in RNAcentral is "guanine nucleotide-binding protein G(o) subunit alpha, transcript variant X1". The record is from RNAcentral. Lineage: Eukaryota; Metazoa; Mollusca; Cephalopoda; Octopoda; Octopodidae.